UAUGCCCAGCCCUAAAUCUAGAUGUUCAUACCUACCAGAACAUCCGCCUGAGAACUACGAGCACAAACGCUUAAAACUCUAAGGACUUGGCGGUGCCCUAAACCCACCUAGAGGAGCCUGUUCUGUAAUCGAUAACCCACGAUGCACCCAACCACCUCUUGCCAAAGCAGCCUACAUACCGCCGUCGCCAGCCCACCUCUUAUGAAAGACCCACAGUGAGCGCAACAGUCCUAACCCAACUAACAAGACAGGUCAAGGUAUAGCUAAUGAGGUGGAAGAAAUGGGCUACAUUUUCUAAACUAGAAAAUCCACGGACAGGGGCAUGAAACUGCCCCCAGAAGGCGGAUUUAGCAGUAAAGCGGGACAAAAGAGCCCCCUUUAAGCCGGCCCUAGGGUACGU
This 400-nucleotide ribosomal RNA is filed under the name Atelornis pittoides. Its description in RNAcentral is "partial 12S ribosomal RNA". It matches the Rfam family "Bacterial small subunit ribosomal RNA", at positions 791 to 1384 of the family's 1533-position model. The record is from RNAcentral. Lineage: Eukaryota; Metazoa; Chordata; Aves; Coraciiformes; Brachypteraciidae.